AGUGAACGCUGGCGGUAGGCCUAACACAUGCAAGUCGAACGGCAGCACAGUAAGAGCUUGCUCUUACGGGUGGCGAGUGGCGGACGGGUGAGGUAUACAUCGGAAUCUACUUUUUCGUGGGGGAUAACGUAGGGAAACUUACGCUAAUACCGCAUACGACCUACGGGCGAAAGCAGGGGAUCUUCGGACCUUGCGCGAUUGAAUGAGCCGAUGUCGGAUUAGCUAGUUGGCGGGGUAAAGGCCCACCAAGGCGACGAUCCGUAGCUGGUCUGAGAGGAUGAUCAGCCACACUGGAACUGAGACACGGUCCAGACUCCUACGGGAGGUAGCAGUGGGGAAUAUUGGACAAUGGGCGCAAGCCUGAUCCAGCCAUACCGCGUGGGUGAAGAAGGCCUUCGGGUUGUAAAGCCCUUUUGUUGGGAAAGAAAAGCAGCAGGUUAAUACCCCGCUGUUCUGACGGUACCCAAAGAAUAAGCACCGGCUAACUUCGUG
This 492-nucleotide ribosomal RNA is filed under the name uncultured bacterium. RNAcentral's name for it is "partial 16S ribosomal RNA". It matches the Rfam family "Bacterial small subunit ribosomal RNA", at positions 29 to 507 of the family's 1533-position model. The record is from RNAcentral.